GAUGAACGCUGGCGGCGUGCCUAAUACAUGCAAGUCGAGCGAACAGACGAGGAGCUUGCUCCUCUGACGUUAGCGGCGGACGGGUGAGUAACACGUGGAUAACCUACCUAUAAGACUGGGAUAACUUCGGGAAACCGGAGCUAAUACCGGAUAAUAUAUUGAACCGCAUGGUUCAAUAGUGAAAGACGGUUUUGCUGUCACUUAUAGAUGGAUCCGCGCCGCAUUAGCUAGUUGGUAAGGUAACGGCUUACCAAGGCAACGAUGCGUAGCCGACCUGAGAGGGUGAUCGGCCACACUGGAACUGAGACACGGUCCAGACUCCUACGGGAGGCAGCAGUAGGGAAUCUUCCGCAAUGGGCGAAAGCCUGACGGAGCAACACCGCGUGAGUGAUGAAGGUCUUCGGAUCGUAAAACUCUGUUAUUAGGGAAGAACAAAUGUGUAAGUAACUAUGCACGUCUCGACGGUACCUAAUCAGAAAGCCACGGCUAACUACGUG
This 497-nucleotide ribosomal RNA is filed under the name uncultured bacterium. RNAcentral describes it as "partial 16S ribosomal RNA". It matches the Rfam family "Bacterial small subunit ribosomal RNA", at positions 28 to 507 of the family's 1533-position model. The record is from RNAcentral.